GGAGAGGUGUCCGAGUGGUUGAAGGAGCACGCCUGGAGAGCGUGUGUGGGGGAAACUCCACCCCGGGUUCGAAUCCCGGCCUCUCCGCCA
This 90-nucleotide transfer RNA is filed under the name Methylomirabilis sp. (SeqCode). Its description in RNAcentral is "tRNA-Ser". It matches the Rfam family "tRNA". From Rfam's summary of the family: Transfer RNA (tRNA) molecules are approximately 80 nucleotides in length. The record is from RNAcentral. Lineage: Bacteria; Methylomirabilota (SeqCode); Methylomirabilia (SeqCode); Methylomirabilales (SeqCode); Methylomirabilaceae (SeqCode). RNAcentral also lists the same sequence under 6 other names.